RNAcentral lists this ribosomal RNA (536 nucleotides) under uncultured bacterium. RNAcentral describes it as "bacterial SSU rRNA". It matches the Rfam family "Bacterial small subunit ribosomal RNA", at positions 1 to 522 of the family's 1533-position model. The record is from RNAcentral.
UAUAGUUGAUCAUGGCUCAGAAUCAACCGCUGGCGGCGAUGCCUAACACAUGCAAGUCGAACGCGAAAGUCCCGCAAGGGAUGAGUAGAGUGGCAAACGGGUGAGUAACGCGUGGGUGACCUGCCUUCGAGCGGGGGAUAACGUUCCGAAAGGGACGCUAAUACCGCAUAACAUCCUGCCUUUUAAGAGGUGGAGAUCAAAGCCUGGGACCGCAAGGCCAGGCACUCGAAGAGUGGGCCCGCGUCCGAUUAGCUAGUUGGUGGGGUAAUGGCUCACCAAGGCUCCGAUCGGUAUCCGGCCUGAGAGGGCGGACGGACACACUGGGACUGAGACACGGCCCAGACUCCUACGGGAGGCAGCAGUGGGGAAUUGUUCGCAAUGGGCGCAAGCCUGACGACGCAACGCCGCGUGGAGGAUGAAGAUCUUCGGGUCGUAAACUCCUUUCGAUCGAGACGAACGACUUCCGGGUAACAUCCGGGAGAGUGACGGUACCGAGAGAAGAAGCCCCGGCUAACUCCGUGCCAGCAGCCGCGGUA